GGGUAUGGUGCAACGGUAGCGCAACGGUCUCCAAAACCGUUAAUGGGGGUUCGAUUCCCUCU
RNAcentral lists this transfer RNA (62 nucleotides) under bovine gut metagenome. It matches the Rfam family "tRNA", at positions 7 to 64 of the family's 71-position model. From Rfam's summary of the family: Transfer RNA (tRNA) molecules are approximately 80 nucleotides in length. Their secondary structure includes four short double-helical elements and three loops (D, anti-codon, and T loops). The record is from RNAcentral.